GGCGCUGGCGGCGCGGGCGGCGCGGAUCGGCUGCGAGCUGUUCGUGAUGGACGACGGCUGGUUCGGCGCCCGGACCAGCGCCG
This 83-nucleotide transfer RNA is filed under the name Actinocatenispora thailandica. Its description in RNAcentral is "tRNA-Arg". Lineage: Bacteria; Bacillati; Actinomycetota; Actinomycetes; Micromonosporales; Micromonosporaceae. The record is from RNAcentral.